UUGAAAGGGAAACGAUUGAAGUCAGUCGUACGGACGAGAAAUCAACCUCUCGAGGGUGGGUUCGUUUUGCGUAUCCGCAUUCUUGGGGUGUAUUUUCUCGUAUCGUAGGUUAGCGUCGGUUUCGGACAUUACAAAAUGAUUGGAGGAAUGUAGCUUCGGCCUCGGUUGAAGUGUUAUAGCCUCUGGUAGAUGUAACGACCGGGACCGAGGAUUGCAACGGAUACCCUCACGGGCUAUCCGCCUGACCUCUGAUGCGACACCCCGGUGUUGAAAGCUUGCUUAUGAUAUCGGAGCGAUCGUUCAAAAGGUUAGAGCGGAUUAAAUUCGUUAAGGACGCUGACGUAAUGGCUUUAAACGACCCGUCUUGAAACACGGACCA
This 379-nucleotide ribosomal RNA is filed under the name Glomeromycotina sp. Its description in RNAcentral is "partial large subunit ribosomal RNA". The record is from RNAcentral. Lineage: Eukaryota; Fungi; Glomeromycota.